Molecule: ribosomal RNA, 865 nt
Filed under: Salmonella enterica
Lineage: Bacteria; Pseudomonadati; Pseudomonadota; Gammaproteobacteria; Enterobacterales; Enterobacteriaceae
Description: partial 23S ribosomal RNA
Rfam family: Bacterial large subunit ribosomal RNA
Source: RNAcentral
AGACCCGAAACCCGGUGAUCUAGCCAUGGGCAGGUUGAAGGUUGGGUAACACUAACUGGAGGACCGAACCGACUAAUGUUGAAAAAUUAGCGGAUGACCUGUGGCUGGGGGUGAAAGGCCAAUCAAACCGGGAGAUAGCUGGUUCUCCCCGAAAGCUAUUUAGGUAGCGCCUCGUGAAUUCAUCUCCGGGGGUAGAGCACUGUUUCGGCUAGGGGGCCAUCCCGGCUUACCAACCCGAUGCAAACUGCGAAUACCGGAGAAUGUUAUCACGGGAGACACACGGCGGGUGCUAACGUCCGUCGUGAAGAGGGAAACAACCCAGACCGCCAGCUAAGGUCCCAAAGUCAUGGUUAAGUGGGAAACGAUGUGGGAAGGCCCAGACAGCCAGGAUGUUGGCUUAGAAGCAGCCAUCAUUUAAAGAAAGCGUAAUAGCUCACUGGUCGAGUCGGCCUGCGCGGAAGAUGUAACGGGGCUAAACCAUGCACCGAAGCUGCGGCAGCGAACGUAUCACCCAAGACAACUUUACGGAGUUGACGAUUGACGGAGCGAAGCGACGUCAAAGCGUUCAUUAAAGUCGAGUUGGCUUAGGGAUACGUUCGUUGGGUAGGGGAGCGUUCUGUAAGCCUGUGAAGGUGUGUCGUGAGGCAUGCUGGAGGUAUCAGAAGUGCGAAUGCUGACAUAAGUAACGAUAAAGCGGGUGAAAAGCCCGCUCGCCGGAAGACCAAGGGUUCCUGUCCAACGUUAAUCGGGGCAGGGUGAGUCGACCCCUAAGGCGAGGCCGAAAGGCGUAGUCGAUGGGAAACGGGUUAAUAUUCCUGUACUUGGUGUUACUGCGAAGGGGGGACGGAGAAGGCUAUGUUGGCCG